RNAcentral lists this ribosomal RNA (253 nucleotides) under uncultured prokaryote. Its description in RNAcentral is "partial 16S ribosomal RNA". It matches the Rfam family "Bacterial small subunit ribosomal RNA", at positions 524 to 776 of the family's 1533-position model. The record is from RNAcentral.
UACGUAGGGUGCGAGCGUUGAUCGGAAUUACUGGGCGUAAAGCGUGCGCAGGCGGCUUUGCAAGACAGAUGUGAAAUCCCCGGGCUUAACCUGGGAACUGCAUUUGUGACUGCAAGGCUAGAGUACGGUAGAGGGGGAUGGAAUUCCGCGUGUAGCAGUGAAAUGCGUAGAUAUGCGGAGGAACACCAAUGGCGAAGGCAACCACCUGGGCCUGCACUGACGCUGAGGUACGAAAGCGUGGGGAGCAAACAGG